This 1449-nucleotide ribosomal RNA is filed under the name Candidatus Saccharibacteria bacterium UBA1103. RNAcentral's name for it is "bacterial SSU rRNA". It matches the Rfam family "Bacterial small subunit ribosomal RNA". Lineage: Bacteria; Candidatus Saccharimonadota. The record is from RNAcentral.
AGAGUUCGAUCCUGGCUCAGGAUGAACGCUGGCGGCAUGCCUAACACAUGCAAGUCGAUCGGUAAGGCCCUUUGGGGUACACGAGAGGCGGACGGCUGAGUAACGCAUGGGAACGCACCCUACACUGAGGGAUAAGAUACCGAAAGGUGUUCUAAUACCGCAUGUGGUCUUCGGAUUAAAGUUUUUAACGGUGAAGGAGCGGCCUGUGUCAUAUUAGGUAGUUGGUGGGGUAAUGGCCUACCAAGCCGAUGAUGUGUAGCUGGUCUGAGAGGAUGAUCAGCCAGAUUGGAACUGAGAACGGUCCAAACUCCUACGGGAGGCAGCAGUGAGGAAUAUUCCACAAUGGGCGAAAGCCUGAUGGAGCAAUGCCGCGUGCAGGAUGAAGGCCUUCGGGUUGUAAACUGCUUUUAUUAGAGAAGAAUAUGACGGUAACUAAUGAAUAAGGGACGGCUAACUACGUGCCAGCAGCCGCGGUCAUACGUAGGUCCCAAGCGUUAUCCGGAGUGACUGGGCGUAAAGAGUUGCGUAGGCGGCUAAGUAAGCGAGUGAUGAAAACUGUCGGCUCAACCGACAGCCUGUUAUUCGUACUGCUUGGCUCGAGAGUAUCAGAGGUCGCUGGAAUUCCUAGUGUAGCAGUGAAAUGCGUAGAUAUUAGGAGGAACACCAAUGGCGUAGGCAGGCGACUGGGGUAUUUCUGACGCUAAGGCACGAAAGCGUGGGUAGCGAACCGGAUUAGAUACCCGGGUAGUCCACGCCGUAAACGAUGAAUGCUAAUUGUUCGGGGUAUCGACCCCUUGGGUAAUAAAGCUAACGCGUUAAGCAUUCCGCCUGUGGAGUACGGCCGCAAGGCUAAAACAUAAAGGAAUUGACGGGGACCCGCACAAGCGGUGGAGGAUGUUCUUUAAUUCGAUGAUAAGCGAAGAACCUUACCAGGGCUUGACAUCCCUAGAAUUUCUCCGAAAGGAGAGAGUGCUUUUUAAGAACUAGGUGACAGAUCCUGCAUGGCCGUCGUCAGCUCGUGUCGUGAGAUGUUUGGUUAAGUCCAUCAACGAGCGCAACCCUUAUCGUUAGUUGUAUUUUUCUAACGAGACUGCCCCGGUAACGGGGAGGAAGGAGGGGAUGAUGUCAGGUCAGUAUUGGUCUUACGUCCUGGGCUAGAAACGUCCUACAAUGGCUGGUACAAUGGGCAGCGAACCCGCGAGGGGGUGCAAAUCCCACCAAAGCCAGUCCCAGUUCGGAUUGCAGGCUGAAACUCGCCUGCAUGAAGUCGGAAUCGCUAGUAAUCGCAGAUCAGCACGCUGCGGUGAAUACGUUCCCGGGUCUUGUACACACCGCCCGUCAAACCAUGAAAGUCAGGAGCACCCGACGUCCGAAUUUAUUUCGGCCUAAGGUGAACUUGGUGAUUGGGGUUAAGUCGUAACAAGGUAUCCGUACCGGAAGGUGCGGAUG